CCUCCUUUCCUUAGUAAGCUUCCUCUCAACUCUCUUUCACUCUUUCUCGUCGUUUGAAGAACUACAAAGGCCAAACCAGCCGGCCACCAGCCACCGGAGGCUAUCCUCUCAUCUGCCGCUCGGUGAAGACCAAACGACGGCCUACAAGACCAAAAAAGAGCCCACUCGACCUUCUAACACCUUAUCUACCCUUGGUCGAAAACCUCCAAACCUUUACACCGCUGUAAAUCGACGUCUCCAAUCACCAACCACAUACCACCAUCGUUUUAACCGCAGCCUAGAUCUCAGCAAACCCCAAGCCUUCCCUUUUUCGUCUAAACCCCAAAAAAGAGCCCCUAAAUCAACAUGCAAACUCCAUAGACUCUAAAGCUUCCAACGAUGGCCGACGAUCGACGAGUGACCACUGUUCGACGAGGAGACUGGACUGAUAAGGCACGAAGCUAUUCGGGACCACUGUUGUAUGCGUGGUGAAAAGAGGCUCGGUUGAGGAGGCUGGGACCACCACGGAGCUGAUAGUGUUUGAGGUUGCUGUUUUGUUUGAUGUUGACGCGCGUGCAUUGCUGGGACGUAGCUUAGGACCACUGGCUGGCGGCGACUGGACUUCAUUUUCCCUGUCAUUUAGGGUUUUCAUCUCAACGGUUGGAUCAUCAUAAGAUCCAACGGUGGUGAUCAAAGCGGUUGAAGGAUUAAAAUCCCAAGUUUCUUUGGGAUGGCAACUGUGGGCCUCUGUUGGGUCUUAAAUUGUAUAUAGGCUUUUGGAUUUUUAAAUGGGUUGGUAGAGAGUUUAAUCUUUGUAAUUGGACACGAGUUAAAUAAAACUUGUGUUUGGGGUUUAUACAUGGACUAGUUUUUAAUUAUGGAAUUUAGUGGAUUUUUGUAUUGUUUGGUAAA
Hibiscus syriacus is the source of this 891-nucleotide long non-coding RNA. RefSeq lists it as uncharacterized. The transcript is spliced from 2 exons. NCBI's taxonomy places the organism in Eukaryota, Viridiplantae, Streptophyta, Magnoliopsida, Malvales, Malvaceae. The record is from RefSeq and is a predicted model, not a curated record.